GUGUGUAUAUACGAUCGAUCAGGGGCAGAGGGUGAGGUGAAACCCUAGUUUCACCAAAAUCCAUCAAAUUGAAGGGGGAUUGAAGGGCUAAACUAAUGCAUGAACCAAGAUUGUCGAUCACUUUAGUGUUUCUACCAUCAUGAUCAUGUUUAAAGGGGAAAGCAUGGAAGGCAAACGGAAAAGGGAUGAGGAAGCAUGUACGAAACGGACACUCGAGAUAUGUAGGUGCGUAUGAUCAGACGUAUGAAUAUAUGAAUGCACGAAGUAGGAUUUAUCGUCUAUGAAAAGAAUGGGACAGGUAUGCAUGUAUACAUGGUUUCAAUACGUUUGAGUAUGGACGUUACUAAUGAUGUGCUUGAGAUUGAAAUGUAAUGCAGGAAUGAGAACGUCAGACUCUUGUAGAAUUGAAGCCGAACCUUGAAGCCGAACUCGGAACAAAGGAAUCCGAGAGGAUAGUCGAAUGAAUCAAAGUUUAUGUUGUCGAAUGUUAUAUGAUUUUUAAUUUGUAUCAGAUUAUUGUUGUAUGACGUUGUCAAUGACUAAUGGUUAAGUUGUAUGUGGUGUCCACAGGUACUACACGGAUUUCUUCUACCACUAUCGAAGAUAAGCGGGCAUAGAUCGAGUCGAAUGACAAGGGUUGUACGGAAAGAACGGUUAGGUGGUCUUAAUUUUGUAACGCAUUAAUUUAAAAAUUAAAAAGGGAAGUGAAUUUUGUAAGCUUCUUCUUGAAUGUGUGUAUUGUUAUAAGACCGUAAAGAAAUUUUUAAAGCUAUUUUUCCGUUGCUUUAUCUUUAAGUUCUUACACGACGAUCUUACAGGGAAUUGUUCUUAUUACGAACGGGUCAUGCCCGAAUUUUUCUUAAAUAAUAGUAUGGUAAUAUUACUUUUCGGACUAAGAAAUAUGGGCGUUACAAGUUGGUAUCAGAGCCCUUGUUUGAGUGAAUCAAGCACGAGAAGAUAAAUGCUUGAACUCAAACCUGUGUGCUCUUGUGAUAAGGAACCCGUACAAUCCAUGACUCGAUCAAAAUCUAAAGGUGAAAAAAAAAAUGGAAUGAAAGCGUGUAUGUAUGCAUUCAUAUGAGGAAACUAACGGUUUUUGUAUGUGCAAGGUAAGCUUAAAAGUUUGAAGAGGAUGAUCCGUGAAUGCAGAAUAGGAUGAACGCUAAGGCAGGCAAAGAUGCAAAUAGGCAAAUUAACCCCAGGUACAUGCUACUAAUAUGUAUGGGUACCGAU
This 1233-nucleotide long non-coding RNA is filed under the name Helianthus annuus (common sunflower). RNAcentral describes it as "hypothetical non coding rna". The record is from RNAcentral. Lineage: Eukaryota; Viridiplantae; Streptophyta; Magnoliopsida; Asterales; Asteraceae.